UACGAAGGGGGCUAGCGUUGCUCGGAAUUACUGGGCGUAAAGCGCACGUAGGCGGCUUUCUAAGUCAGGGGUGAAAUCCUGGAGCUCAACUCCAGAACUGCCUUUGAUACUGGAGAGCUUGAGUCCGGGAGAGGUGAGUGGAACUCCGAGUGUAGAGGUGAAAUUCGUAGAUAUUCGCAAGAACACCAGUGGCGAAGGCGGCUCACUGGCCCGGUACUGACGCUGAGGUGCGAAAGCGUGGGGAGCAAACAGG
This 253-nucleotide ribosomal RNA is filed under the name uncultured bacterium. Its description in RNAcentral is "partial 16S ribosomal RNA". It matches the Rfam family "Bacterial small subunit ribosomal RNA", at positions 524 to 776 of the family's 1533-position model. The record is from RNAcentral.